AGUUCGAUCCUGGCUCAGAUUGAACGCUGGCGGGAUGCUUUACACAUGCAAGUCGAACGGCAGCACGGACUUCGGUCUGGUGGCGAGUGGCGAACGGUGAGUACGUAUCGAACGCCGGUAGCGGGGAUAUUAACUACGCGAAAGCGUAGCUAAUACCGCAUACGCCCUUCGGGGGAAAGCGGGGGACCUUCUUCGCCUCUGCACCAUUAGAGCGGCCGAUGCCUGAUUAGCUAGUUGGUGGGGUAACGGCUCACCAAGGCGACGAUCCGUAGCUGGUUUGAGAGGACGACCAGCCACACUGGGACUGAGACACGGCCCAGACUCCUACGGAGGUGCAGUGGGGAAUUCCCUGGACAAUGGGGGAAACCUUGAUCCAGCCAUCCUUGCGUGUGCGAUGAAGGCCUUCGGGUUGUAAAGCACUUUUGGCAGGAAAAGAAACGGGUACCGGGAUAAUACCCCGUGCAACCGACGGUACCCGCAAGAACAAGCACCGGCUAACUACGCCAGCAGCCGCGGUAAUAUGUAGGGUGCAAGCGUUAAUCGGAAUUACUGGGCGUAAAGCGUGCGCAGGCGGUUCGGAAAGAAAGAUGUGAACCAGCUGAAUCUUGGAACUGCAUUUUUAACUACCGAGCUAGAGUGUGUCAGAGGGAGGUGGAAUUCCGCGUGUAGCAGUGAAAUGCGUAGAUAUGCGGAGGAACACCGAUGGCGAAGGCUUUCCUGAUAACACUGACGCUCAUGCACGAAAGCGUGGGGAGCAAACAGGAUUAGAUACCCUGGUAGUCCACGCCCUAAACGAUGUCAACUAGCUGUUAGCCUUCGGGCCUUGGUAGCGCAGCUAACGCGUGAAGUUGACCGCCUGGGGAGUACGGUCGCAAGAUUAAAACUCAAAGCGAAUGACGAGACCCGCACAAGCGGUGGAUGAUGUGGAUUAAUUCGAUGCAACGCGAAAAACCUUUACCUACCUCGACAUGUUCAAAUCCCGAAGAGAUUUGGGAGUGCUCGCAAGAGAACCGGAACACAGGUGCUGCAUGGCUGUCGUCAGCUCGUGUCGUGAGAUGUUAGUUAUUAAGUCCCAACGAGCGCAACCCUUGUCAUUAGUUGCUACAGAAAGGGCACUCUAUCGAGACAGACAAACCGGAGGAAGGUGGGGAUGACGUCGAGUCCUCAGCGGCCCCUAUGGGUAGGGCUUCACACGUCAUACAAUGGUCGGGACAGAGGGUCGCCAACCCGCGAGGGGGAGCCAAUCCCAGAAACCCGAUCGUAGUCCGGAUCGCAGUCUGCAACUGACUGCGUGAAGUCGGAAUCGCUAGUAAUCGCGGAUCAUAUGUUGCGUGAAUAUGCUCCUGGUCUUGUACACACCGCCCGUCACACAUGGGAGGUGUAGGUUGACUAUAGUUUAGUUAGCCUAACCGUAUGAGGGCGAUUACCACGGUAGGAUUCAUGACUGGGGUGAAGUCGUAACAAGCAA
Molecule: ribosomal RNA, 1468 nt
Filed under: uncultured Bordetella sp.
Lineage: Bacteria; Pseudomonadati; Pseudomonadota; Betaproteobacteria; Burkholderiales; Alcaligenaceae
Description: partial 16S-23S ribosomal RNA intergenic spacer
Rfam family: Bacterial small subunit ribosomal RNA
Source: RNAcentral